UAGAGUUUGAUCCUGGCUCAGGACGAACGCUGGCGGCGUGCCUAAUACAUGCAAGUCGAGCGGACCGAUGGGAGCUUGCUCCUUUAGGUUAGCGGCGGACGGGUGAGUAACACGUGGGCAACCUGCCCUGCAGACUGGGAUAACUUCGGGAAACCGGAGCUAAUACCGGAUAACACCGAAAACCGCAUGGUUUUCGGUUGAAAGGCGGCUUUUAGCUGUCACUGCAGGAUGGGCCCGCGGCGCAUUAGCUAGUUGGUGAGGUAACGGCUCACCAAGGCGACGAUGCGUAGCCGACCUGAGAGGGUGACCGGCCACACUGGGACUGAGACACGGCCCAGACUCCUACGGGAGGCAGCAGUAGGGAAUCUUCCGCAAUGGACGAAAGUCUGACGGAGCAACGCCGCGUGAGCGAAGAAGGUCUUCGGAUCGUAAAGCUCUGUUGUCAGGGAAGAACAAGUGCCGUUCGAACAGGGCGGUACCUUGACGGUACCUGACGAGGAAGCCACGGCUAACUACGUGCCAGCAGCCGCGGUAAU
RNAcentral lists this ribosomal RNA (536 nucleotides) under bacterium enrichment culture clone DWBac31. RNAcentral's name for it is "bacterial SSU rRNA". It matches the Rfam family "Bacterial small subunit ribosomal RNA", at positions 1 to 524 of the family's 1533-position model. The record is from RNAcentral.